Molecule: unclassified non-coding RNA, 361 nt
Filed under: soil metagenome
Description: partial contains 5.8S ribosomal RNA, internal transcribed spacer 2, and large subunit ribosomal RNA
Rfam family: 5.8S ribosomal RNA (bases 1-120)
Source: RNAcentral
GAUGAAGAACGCAGCGUAAUGCGAUAAGUAAUGUGAAUUGCAGAAUUUAGUGAAUCAUCGAAUCUUUGAACGCAUAUUGCGCCCGCCAGCACUCUGGCGGGCAUGCCUGUUCGAGCGUCAUUUCAACCCUCAGGCCUCGCGUCUGGCGUUGGGGCGCUGCGGCCCUCCCGCAGGCCCCCAAAUUUAGCGGCGGAUUCCCCGCGGCCCUGAGCGCAGUAGAGAGUAAAAACUUUAACGCUCCGGCGGCCGUGGCGCGGUUCUGCCUCUUUCCCAAUAGCGCCAAUAGCGCCACCCCCAAAAAAGUUGACCUCGGAUCAGGUAGGACUACCCGCUGAACUUAAGCAUAUCAAUAAGCGGAGGA